Molecule: non-coding RNA, 3305 nt
Organism: Musa acuminata subsp. malaccensis (wild Malaysian banana)
Lineage: Eukaryota; Viridiplantae; Streptophyta; Magnoliopsida; Zingiberales; Musaceae
Source: RefSeq, a predicted model, not a curated record
UAUUCUCAUCGUUUUCUCGCGUCGGAUCUUUGAAUUCUUUACUGGUUUCUUGGGUGAAAGAUCGGCACCCUUUUCGGGUUAGUGGUCGAUCUUGACGGUUGCGAUGGUGGGACGGUGAGAAUUAGGGAUGAUGGUACUCGUUCUUGAUCCGGAAAAUUUUUUACGGUCCGACGUAUCAAUAGAUUUUCCUUCUGAGAGUAGUUCGAAGGACAUUGGUUUUAUUUUUCUUGUUCAGGGUUUCUGAAAUACCUGCGGACGUUGUUCUGGUUCUUUUCGUUGGUCAUUCUUGCUAAAAUUUUGUUAGGUUUAUAUUGACUGUAACUUGUUUGUGUUUUUUCUUAGAUCGGAUCCUUAGACGAAAUCAGCAAUUGAAAUUAUUUUGUCCCAGAAGUGGGUUAUACAGUAAAAAAAUACAUGCCUUCUUUAGGUCAUAUGGCUUUGUUUGCGCUAAUUUAGAAUGUGGAAUAAAAAGGACACUAUCUCACAAACAUACAUUGAAUUUACAGCUUGAGAUGGUAAAUACUGAAGCAUAUUAUCACAUAGCUGUUUGUUUUUCUUUCUUUAUGGAAUGUUAAUAACUGAUUACGUUUGUCAAUUAGACUGUACUCAUUGAAUUGUUGUCCUCUGAAAAAUUUUACAUAUACUGAUCAGGAAGUUCUUAGGUUCAUCCCCAGUUUGUUUGGUUAUCCUAUUCAAUCCUCAAAAUAAUAUAGAGUUUCUCUCAGUUUAAUUCUUCUGUGAAUGUUGUGCUAAUCUAUCAAUAGUCCGAUACAAUACAAAGUCAUGGACAAGCAUCCUUAAGUUUUGCAAAUUGAAGCUAUUAUGGAAAAUACUCAUUGUUUACUGAAUUUGAAGGUGAAAAACGAGAAAAAAUUUAAUGGUGCUUCAAGCAGUGUUAUUAAGCUUUUGAAGUGUAAUGUCAAAUAUUUGUCUUUCUCGUCAUUUAUAAAUUACCACCUAUUAGGCAUGGUGUUACUCAGAUGAACCAGGAAAGCAUCUGCAAAUUAGUUUAGAAAAGGAAAAUAAUAACAUAGGAGGACAUGACAAAAUAGUGAAAUAUUAAUAUAAAUGAUAUAUGCACAUAGAAAAGGUUUGAAGAGCACUGACAUAACUAAGAGCUGAGAGAUUAUGAUGUAUCAUGAAUGGAUCAGUACAUAAGGGAGGAGCAGUACCACUCUAGGAAUUUUAUUUAAAGUAACCAACAAUUCUUCAUAGAGUGUAACUGGAGAUUGUGGUGUUUCACACAAUGCACAUUCUGGAUGGACAUCUUCAUAAAUAAUACUUCUCUUCAUCCUGCUUUGCUACAUGUCAUGCAGGUACUUGGCCCAUUUAACAUAAUCCUAAUUGGACACCCUACAUAAAAUGACUCCAUUACUUGGAUACUGUAAGUACUACUAUCUCAUAAUAACAGAUUCUCCAUGGUUAAAUGUAACAAAGAUUCUUAAAUAGACAUGACUUCUAGGAAUCUAUUGACUGAAUCAUGUAAUGUUGGCACUUUUGAACGACCUUAGAACUUCCUAAAAGUACAGUUAGAUAAAAUAUCAACUACAAAAUAUAUGAAAUAGGAAAUCUAGUUUCAAGAUUCAUAAAUAAAUUGACUUUCUUUGAGGACUAGUAACUUGAAGAUAAACCUAUUUUGGACUAAUCUAAUCCUACACUUGAGAUACAUCAAGGGCCUAUGGAGACAACUUGCCUGGAUGAUUAGAUUCCUCUGUUAGCAGGCAAAGGUUGCCAUAUAAAGAUAUCAUUGUGCAAGAAACAAUUCAGAAAAUUUGAAGUAGCUAGGAAGUUUGAGUAAGUCAAACUUGGUAGUUGAUGUGCUGGUUGAUCCAGGAUAUGUAUAGAGAGUUGGUUUAAUUUCAAAGUUUUGGUUCAUAUUGAUAAAAUUAUCAAGAUACUUGUUAUGCACAGAAAGCAGUGCCUAUUAAUAUAACUUAUCAGAGGACAUUGAGAAGAAACAAAGAGAGAACAGUUUCUAAAAAGCGAAGGAUCUCAGUGGACUCUAUAAUAUGUGAACCACAUGUGAGUUUACAGCAAACAAGAAAAGAAAGUUCUAAAAAAAGAAGAUUAUAAAGAAAUGAAAUGGAAAAGAAACAGGUCUAUGACCAGAUGAAUUUUUCAUCAAUUCUCAUAGUUCAUUACAGUGUUUAGAAUAAUCUAAUCAUGUCCUCAGAUUGUGGUAUGACCAUAUGGAUACUUCCAAUAAAAAACAAAGAAAGAAAGAACAUAUCUGUAUAUUGCUGCUGAUCUAGAUUAGCACUCAGCUAACCAGAAAAAGGAAGGAAAGCUGCUUAAAGUUUUUCCUUACUCCUCUCAGUUGCAUCUUUCUCUCUUUAAGAAAUCAAGUUCAUCUAGAGCUAAUCUAACAAUAAUGUGGCAACUUUUGGAUGCCUAAUGUUGGCUUAAGUAGGAGGCCAAUAUUGAAAUAAGGACCAGCAAGAAGAACUAAUUUAUUACUUAGAAAUCAACUAUUUUUGUCUUGUGUUAAUUUGUCUUUUAAGGUCUUAAUUAGAAUAUUAUAUAUGGUAAUUAUUGUCCACUAUUUUUUAGAAUCAUUUGAUUAGUGAACUAGAAACCUCAAGUCUAAAAUUUCAUGCUUAUUAAAGUGGAUUUUGCUUGUUGCUUUUUAAUUAUUUAAUAAAAAGGUGGCUGAGCUGAUAUCAAUUUGGUAGGUGUUAGUACUCUUCUUCUAUAGUUAUGACCAAAAUAAAGCUGGGCCCACUUACUUAUUCAUGCAAAAUAAACAGUAUGGAAAUUGGUGUUACAAGAUUUUUGCUGGCCUCCCCUUAUUCUGUUCUUGCUUUGAUUGUAUUAGCUAGUCUCACUCUGGCUUAAUAUUAUAACAUUCCGUUCCUCCCAUACAUAUGUGUUAAAAAGUAAAAACUAUAUGAAAAUAUAGAUUUUUGACAUUCAAUCAGAUUUUAGUGCUGCUCUGAAUUAGCUCAUGUUCAAUGGGUUAUAUUUGAAUUAGUGGUUCACCAGACUAUUCACUUUCAAGCACUACAGUUGCAGAUUUCAAAUGUAAUAACCUAUUCCAAUGCAUGAAGAAUAAUGGCAGAAUACAUGAUUGGCAACAUUCAUCCACUUGGAGAAAAAGAAGCAUGAGUGGAAAUUUGAUGCACUUGCAAUGUUGAAGGAGCUCUUUGCUUUUAUUCAGGUGAUGAUGCCAAUACCAGAGAAGAUUUGGCAUGAAAGAUGUAACAAAAGAGGAGGAUUGAAAAGAAAAUUCAGUUAUUUAAAAGAAUCCAUUAUUGAGUUUUUGUGGAAGUAUUGAUAAAAACGGAAUGAAUUUAUUUUCAGAGGUA